Lactuca sativa (garden lettuce) is the source of this 1622-nucleotide RNA transcript. It is a transcript of the gene named protein DETOXIFICATION 46, chloroplastic, with no coding region annotated. Lineage: Eukaryota; Viridiplantae; Streptophyta; Magnoliopsida; Asterales; Asteraceae. The record is from RefSeq and is a predicted model, not a curated record.
UCUCUCUCUCUCUCUCUCUCUCUCUCUCUCUUUUACAUCGAUCCAAUUUGGUGACCACAUGCAUCUCCUUCCUCCAUAUCAACUGCAUGUAAGAGUGAUUUUUAAUUUGUAUAUGAUUUCAGUUUUUAGUUUGUUUGUGCUUACUCAAAAUCCUUCACCAUUCUCACUAACCCCCUUCUCUCUCAUCUUGUUCAUCAAACGUUCGCCAAAAUCCAGCAAUGCCACCGGAAUCUAAGGCUUCCUUCGUGCAUCUGCAUUCUCUAAUCUCAAGGUCGCAAAUGUUUAAUCCACAAAUCAACAGAUCUAGGUCAUUCUCCUCACACCAUCUCAUUCAUCUUCCUCAUCCAUUUGAAAUCGAAUCUACAAUCUAUUGUCAUUUGAAGCCACAAUAUCGAAUUUCCACUAUUCCUAGCCUCUCAAAACAUAUUUAUUUGAUUCAUUUUCAAUUUCAAUUUGAUUCAUCACCUAUUUUUUCAUCUUUAAAACACACUCAAUUGUUAAUGGUGCAUAUAUGAGAGUUGAAAAUGAUGCAAACUGGUGUUGUACUUGGCCCUAACGAUAGAUAUUCAUCUACAAAGUCGUCGACCCUUGGAGCUGUGGCUAACAUUAUUUGUGAUGUAAUGCUUUGUUAUACUUUGGCUAUGGUUUUGCUGGAGCAGCAUGGGCAACAACGGUCUCACAUGUAUAUUAUACAUACUCUAUGAAAAAUAUCACAACAUGCAUCCAUUUACUUGUUUUUAUAUGUUAAUUUCUGUUGUGUUGGACUUUACUUUACACAAAUUGUAGGUUGUUGCAAGGUUUAUGAUGAUUGAAGCUCUAAAAGACAAAGGGUAUAAUGGGUAUGACAUUGCUAUCCCUUCACUUACUGAACUUCUACAAAUAUUCAAAUUUGUUGCUCCUGUUUUCAUAGUGAUGAUGUCAAAGGUCGCAUUCUAUUCGUUACUUGUCUACUUUUCCACAUCAAUGGGAUUACAAAUUAUUGUUGCACAUCAGGUCCUUGUCUAAGUAUACUGCAUGUUUGUAGUAGGCGGUGAAACUCUUUUACAAACUGCACACUCAUUUAUGCCAGAACUUAUUUAUGCUGCUAAAUGAGUCUCUCAAAGGUACAAAUAUUGUUAAAUUCAUUAAUGAUUAUUGGUUCAUCAUUUGGAUUAGUAUUAGCUGCUACUGGAACAAUUGUUCAAUGGAAAGAAGCCAUUGGAUAGCAAGGAAGGAGCUCCAAGAUUUGAGAUAUGAGUUUUACACCCCUUGAGCAACCUCGAGAAGUGUCAGUCAACAAACACGGGCAAUACAAACGAAAGGUUGUGGGCCAGGGUAAUCCAACCGGAAGGUUGUGGGCCAGGGUUAAUCUAACCAGGAGGUUGUUGAACCAGUAUGUAUUGGGUAAUCCAACUGAAAGGUUAUGGGCCAGGGGAAUAAAACAAAAAGGUUGUGGGCCAGGGGUAAUCCAACCAGAAGGUACUUCAGAUGAUCGUGGGAAAGCAAAUGUGUGAUCUGCACAUCCUUCUGAUUUUUGUGAUUGGAUUUUGGGAUACUCUGAUUUGUGAUUAUUACUUUGAGAACAAUGUUUUGUAAACAAUUAUGGUUUUUGGUUAGAUUCUAAAAAUAAAAAUUUACCUUGA